RNAcentral lists this long non-coding RNA (399 nucleotides) under Olea europaea subsp. europaea. The record is from RNAcentral. Lineage: Eukaryota; Viridiplantae; Streptophyta; Magnoliopsida; Lamiales; Oleaceae.
GUUUUCUAAGAGAAUGUAAUUGGUCUUACUCUUAAGUCCUUGUCACAAACUCGUUGGGAAAGCCAUAUUAAAAGUGUUAGAGCGAUAAAAUUUCAAGCUUCGCAAAUAAAAAAAGCGUUACUUCAAUUAGCAAAUGUUGAUGAUUCUAAGACAAAAAGUGAGGCGGAGUGUUUGGCAACAUAUGAGAUUGACAAUUUUGAAUUCUUACUUGGAAUGAUUAUUUGGUAUGAAGUGUUGAAUAAUGUUAACAGAGUAAGCAAACAUUUACAAGCAGAAGACAUGCAUAUUGAUGUUGUUAUAGACCAUUUAAAAGGACUCAUUUCAUUUUUCAAAAGUUAUAGAGAAUCUGGUUUUGAAUCGGCCAUGGUUGAUGUUAAAGAGAUUGCGAGUGAAUUAGAA